UCAGACAGGAUGAGAGGAGGAUAAGGCUAAAGACAGAGGCUCCAGCUACCUUGGUGACAAGGAAUGGAGGAGAAAAGGAACAGGAAAUUUUAAUAAGAUUAGGAGGGCUUGCUUUUCUGCCAAGUGAGCCGCUUUCACAGGAGCGAUAAAUUGGAAAUGUUAUCUGGCUUGAUAUGCCAGUUUUUCUGAGAAAAUCACUCUGCCAGUGGUGACAGAAUGGAAGAGCUGAAAACAUCUUCUUUUUUCAAAGUCAUAUGUCACGAACCAAGGAGACUCCAAAAAAUAAAUUAUGGAAGAUUAUGACCACUGCUGCCAAGGAUACAGUGAAAUAGAUCCAUUAAAGAAUUGAGAUUGCAGGACACACUACCACCCUGAAAACUGGAGAGAGGAAAAAUACAGAGAGGAAGCAGAUCAGCUUACCUGAAGCAGAGGCCGCUGGAAUCUGUGACAGGCUGCAUUUGUAACCAAGCCGUGGUCCUUUUCAUUGCAUCUUGCCAGAAUGAAGAAGAGCUGAUCUCUCCAGUUCCUGUUAUUCCCCUUACAUUGCCCACAUUUAUUGCUCAAUAAACCACAGAAAUCCUUCUGUAA
RNAcentral lists this long non-coding RNA (588 nucleotides) under Homo sapiens (human). RNAcentral's name for it is "HSALNT0385100". The record is from RNAcentral. Lineage: Eukaryota; Metazoa; Chordata; Mammalia; Primates; Hominidae.